Molecule: long non-coding RNA, 427 nt
Filed under: Zonotrichia albicollis (white-throated sparrow)
Lineage: Eukaryota; Metazoa; Chordata; Aves; Passeriformes; Passerellidae
Description: lncRNA (ENSZALG00000007638.1)
Source: RNAcentral
GUGGUGGGGACACCAAGGUGGCACCUGCUGGAACUUGGAGGACCCCAAGGUGGGACCUGGAGGAGAUCUGGGGUCACCAAAGUGGGACCUGGAAAUGGUGGGGGCACCAAGGGGGUCAUAGUGGAAGUUGGAGGUCACCAAGGUGGGACCUGGUGGAUCUGAAGAAGAUUGAGGGGCACCAAGGUGGGACCUGGAGGACCUGGAGAACAUUGAGGGGCACCAAGGUGGGACCUGGAGAAGGUUUGGGGUCACCAAGGUGGGACCUGAUGGACAUUGGGGUCACCAAGGUGGGACCUGGAGAAGGUUUGCGGUCACCAAGGUGGGAAAUGGGAGUGGUGGGGGCACCAAGGUGGGACCUGGAAGAUCUGAAGAAGAUUGAAGGGCACCAAGGUGGCACCUGCUGGAAGUUGGAGGUCACCAAGGUGGG